RNAcentral lists this ribosomal RNA (603 nucleotides) under Pseudomonas sp. SOK85. RNAcentral describes it as "bacterial SSU rRNA". It matches the Rfam family "Bacterial small subunit ribosomal RNA", at positions 56 to 655 of the family's 1533-position model. The record is from RNAcentral. Lineage: Bacteria; Pseudomonadati; Pseudomonadota; Gammaproteobacteria; Pseudomonadales; Pseudomonadaceae.
UGCAGUCGAGCGGUAGAGAGAAGCUUGCUUCUCUUGAGAGCGGCGGACGGGUGAGUAAUGCCUAGGAAUCUGCCUGGUAGUGGGGGAUAACGUUCGGAAACGGACGCUAAUACCGCAUACGUCCUACGGGAGAAAGCAGGGGACCUUCGGGCCUUGCGCUAUCAGAUGAGCCUAGGUCGGAUUAGCUAGUUGGUGAGGUAAUGGCUCACCAAGGCGACGAUCCGUAACUGGUCUGAGAGGAUGAUCAGUCACACUGGAACUGAGACACGGUCCAGACUCCUACGGGAGGCAGCAGUGGGGAAUAUUGGACAAUGGGCGAAAGCCUGAUCCAGCCAUGCCGCGUGUGUGAAGAAGGUCUUCGGAUUGUAAAGCACUUUAAGUUGGGAGGAAGGGCAGUUACCUAAUACGUGAUUGUUUUGACGUUACCGACAGAAUAAGCACCGGCUAACUCUGUGCCAGCAGCCGCGGUAAUACAGAGGGUGCAAGCGUUAAUCGGAAUUACUGGGCGUAAAGCGCGCGUAGGUGGUUUGUUAAGUUGGAUGUGAAAUCCCCGGGCUCAACCUGGGAACUGCAUUCAAAACUGACUGACUAGAGUGUGGUAGA